This is a long non-coding RNA of Cercocebus atys (sooty mangabey), 904 nucleotides long. RefSeq lists it as uncharacterized. Lineage: Eukaryota; Metazoa; Chordata; Mammalia; Primates; Cercopithecidae. The record is from RefSeq and is a predicted model, not a curated record. The transcript has 3 exons.
GAAGGCCUUCUACUCCACCUUAUCUUCUUACAAACUUCUAGGCCUCCUUCAAGCCUCAGCUGACACAGGGCCUCCUCCGUGCAGCCUUCCCGGACUCCUCGAUGGCGAUGCAGAAGCAUCUACAAACCUGGAAGGACUGUUGAGGGGAUCCAGCGAGACUGUGUGCAGGAAGACCUUAGCUCAGAACUGCCCAGAGGAGAAUCCCCUACAAGUGGUAGCUGGUGGUGUCCCUACCUGUCUUUCCUGAGCUCCUCUGUGGGACUGGCAGGCUGCAGGCCUGGAUGCCCUCAGGAGCACAGAGGAUGCUGUCUGGUGGAGAAACGAAGACCCCGAGACUCUGACUCAGAAUGACUCCGGACACCAGACCCAAAAUGUGAAGGAGCCUUAGGAACACCUCAGCCAAUUCACUUGAUUGAUCCUCUCCUUUUAAAAGUUGUCAUAGAGCAGCAGAGGAUAAAAAUCUACAUUUGAAUAAGUCUAACAGAGUUCUCUCAAUAAGUAUUAAAAGCUCUAAGCGAGAAGAAUCACAUUGUCAGGAAUUCAUUGAAGGUUUUUGUUUGUUUGUUUGUUUGUUUCUCCCUCAGUGGUAUGUAAAAUACCGUUUCUUGCAAUUGACAAUCUUUUAGAGACUAAGAAACCCAAGAAAAUGUUGGCAAGAACGUAGUACUCAUAAUGACCAGGGCUUGAGCAUUUAUGCUGUGAGCAGACCCUGGGCUCGGUGCUUCUCCGUCUCUUCCCAGUAACCUUUAUGUAGCUGUUACUGUCUUCACUGUACAGGUGAAGAAAUUGAGGCAUGAAAAGGAAGCUAACUUGUCGAAAGUAGUAACUCGUAUAUGUUAACAUUGCAUUUUUUUUUCCAUUUCCAUUUUUAUUCUGAAACUAUUUCAAAAUACAGAGUGUUAAA